GACUACAUUCAACAUCUUAGAAACUGCUUCACAAAGAUCAGAAAAUUGCAAGUCAAAUUCUAGCUAAAUGAAGUACAGUUCACUUAAAUAACAAUAUAUAAAACCAAUCAUGAGAAUUCUCAACCAUUUGAAUGAAACUAUCAUCUCUAGUUCUGCGCUUAGGAAAUUAACACUGAAUUAAACACCAAAAAUACAAGAACCCAUACAGAUCAAGAAAGCAUAUGAGAAUGAGACCAUGUCAAUUA
This 245-nucleotide unclassified non-coding RNA is filed under the name Hevea brasiliensis (rubber tree). Lineage: Eukaryota; Viridiplantae; Streptophyta; Magnoliopsida; Malpighiales; Euphorbiaceae. The record is from RNAcentral.